UACGGAGGAUGCAAGCGUUAUCCGGAAUGAUUGGGCGUAAAGCGUCCGCAGGUGGCUGUGUAAGUCUGCUGUUAAAGAGUAAGGCUCAACCUCAUAAAAGCAGUGGAAACUACACGGCUAGAGUGCGUUCGGGGCAGAGGGAAUUCCUGGUGUAGCGGUGAAAUGCGUAGAUAUCAGGAAGAACACCGGUGGCGAAAGCGCUCUGCUGGACUGCAACUGACACUCAGGGACGAAAGCUAGGGGAGCGAACAGG
Molecule: ribosomal RNA, 253 nt
Filed under: uncultured bacterium
Lineage: Bacteria
Description: partial 16S ribosomal RNA
Rfam family: Bacterial small subunit ribosomal RNA
Source: RNAcentral